GCCUGGGUGGCUCAGUCAGUUGAGUGUCUGACUUUGGCUCAGGUCAUCAUCUCGUAGUUUGUGAGUUCAAGUCCCGCAUCGGGCU
This 85-nucleotide transfer RNA is filed under the name Felis catus (domestic cat). It matches the Rfam family "tRNA". From Rfam's summary of the family: Transfer RNA (tRNA) molecules are approximately 80 nucleotides in length. Their secondary structure includes four short double-helical elements and three loops (D, anti-codon, and T loops). Lineage: Eukaryota; Metazoa; Chordata; Mammalia; Carnivora; Felidae. The record is from Rfam by way of RNAcentral.